RNAcentral lists this ribosomal RNA (164 nucleotides) under Iostephane trilobata. RNAcentral's name for it is "5.8S ribosomal RNA". It matches the Rfam family "5.8S ribosomal RNA". From Rfam's summary of the family: 5.8S ribosomal RNA (5.8S rRNA) is a component of the large subunit of the eukaryotic ribosome. It is transcribed by RNA polymerase I as part of the 45S precursor that also contains 18S and 28S rRNA. The record is from RNAcentral. Lineage: Eukaryota; Viridiplantae; Streptophyta; Magnoliopsida; Asterales; Asteraceae.
AAAACGACUCUCGGCAACGGAUAUCUCGGCUCACGCAUCGAUGAAGAACGUAGCAAAAUGCGAUACUUGGKGUGAAUUGCAGAAUCCCGUGAACCAUCGAGUUUUUGAACGCAAGUUGCGCCCGAAGCCAUCYGGUUGAGGGCACGUCUGCCUGGGCGUCACGC